GCACCUCAUAAAACGGGUGCCGGGAUUUCCACCCCGCCGAUAACCAAAGCGCACAACCGCGCCAGCGGUUUUUUU
This 75-nucleotide small RNA is filed under the name Escherichia coli O174:H8 str. 04-3038. RNAcentral describes it as "isrK". It matches the Rfam family "isrK Hfq binding RNA". The record is from RNAcentral. Lineage: Bacteria; Pseudomonadati; Pseudomonadota; Gammaproteobacteria; Enterobacterales; Enterobacteriaceae.